UUUGAGAAGGGUCAGUGCUAUCCGGGAUCAUUGGGAAGUCCCUACAUCAUUGAAGUGGACAUUUAAAACGGUUAAUGGUAAGGUUAAGGUGAGGGUUUAGUGUAGGGACGUCCCAAGGACCCCGGAUAGCAUUGGCCGUUUGAGAAGUGCGCUCCUCUCACUGCUUUUGCCGGUUCACUGUAACGGGCCAUAGACCUGUGCACCGCAUAUCAGGUUAAUAGAACGGCCUCAAAAGCGAUUAAGGAAAGUUUCCAACCGUGUCACGGCGGUCAAAGCACCUAUUUCCCCUAAAACCUUUGUCGCGUUAAAAAAAAAAAAGGCAAUUCGGAUGCAUCCGUCUUCAGUGCGUCCACGACAACUGGGAACUCGGAAAGAAAUAGCUCCGACUGAGUAAAAUCGUUUUGAACGGUCAUCCAAAGAAAAUCACUGACGUCAUGAUUUGACCACGUUUUGUACGAGUUACCAGUUGACUUGAAAGCACCAUACAUUCUCGGAGCUACACUAGAGGACACGGUUAUCGGUAAUAUUACAGCAACAAAGCCAUCCGGACGCGUGGAGGCAAACUGAGAAUGACUACCACAUGAGCGAGAAUACCGGGGAGAGGCUCAUUUAACGGUAUUUCUCCGGUAUAGGCUAAGCGGUAGAGUCUACAGACAAAAAUAGAAGACAAUAUGAUAAGCAGAUCAUCUUUUGCUGACUCGAAUAUUCUACACACUGUCAGUCAACAACAAUAGAAUGUAGUUUUAUAUGUCCUAUUCUCUUCACGUUUCCUGCUAUUGUUCAGUAACAACGAUACUACUGCUGCUGACUCGUCCUCUGGCUUUGCAGCAUCCAAAGCAGAUCACUCAGGGGAUGAGGGCUCUUUGGCGCAGUCCGUGAGAGAUGAGGUGAAAGCUGGAUUAGUUAAAUAAGGACCCUCGGUAAAUCUUACGGAGAAACAGGGGACAGUAGCGGGGCUAACCUCUGCGGACAAACCGGAGGAGGACAGUGAAUGCCGAUUCGUGGGGAAGAUAACGGAUCCGGUGGCAGCGGACAGGAGGACAGUUUGGGAGGAGGGGAUCCACGCUGCUGAAGUUAGGAUCCACGCUGGCGCGCACGAGGAAAAUGUGAAAUCUGGCAUGUCUGGCCAACAGUGCUGUAACUCAAAUCCUGCCUCAGCGCCGGUGGACAUUCCAUGAAGUGACUUUGGUCACCUACAGUUCCCUGAGGGGUGGUCUUUUCUCUUAGCAGAUAUGGAAGAAGUGGACGCAGAAUAUGCGCCCAUGAAAUACGCCCCCAGGAUGCUGCGGACCAGACAGAUGGAGAUGAUGAAGAGCUGGAGAAGGAACAGAGGUCUGUACUGGACUGGACAGCAUCUCAAUACUCUGACGUGGCUUCCUCUCCUAGUCUCCUCUUCUUUCCACUUAUUUAAGUGCCACUGCUUACCAGCAGUAACUGGCCAUGUCCGAAUAGCCAUACUUGCGUUCUAAAUAGUAUGCUUUUUGGGUAUGCCAAAAUAUGUUUUAUAGGAUGUGAGAUUUAGAAAAUGUAGUAAACUUUAAAGGACAGGAUGUCAUAGUAAUUUCAGCUUUUCAUCUCGUAGAAUUAGCUGCACACUAUUGAGGAAGACAAUAGUAUUUUGAGACCCACAUGCGUUUGACAACAGCUAAUUAUCCGAAUAGUGAAUGCGCUCUACCAAAAUGAACGAAUGGCGGGGAACAAGCGCCAUUUUGUAUUACACGACGCCUUCUCAGUAUGAAUGAGCUUAGAAUGUUCAUCUUUGUUGCUUUACUGCAUACAUUUUUACUAAAAAGUAUGUUCUAAAUACUAUGUAGUAUGAUUAGUACACAGUAUGUAGAUUUCGGAUGUAGUAGACAAGACAGAUUUCAGACACGGCCAUUGUAAAUAGUCUUUCCAACUCAGUAUAUAAUGCUCUCCUGUCCAGUGUCCUCUGCUACCUUAAAGUCCCUCUCCCUUUCUCCAAGCGUCAGUGUGUGUCAGUGAGUGUUGUCUGUGAGGUGAUUUUGCUUAGCAGCUACUUCUAUCCACGGCACCACUGGGAACUUAGGACUGACCAGGGCUCCGAAAACAAGGUGAAAGAAAGAAAGAGAAGGAAAACCCCCAACGAGUUGAGGGAGAAACACAAAUCAGACCUUGGAUCAGUGUUGGAGGGCAGCUUCAUUUUACUCCAGCAGAAACCCAGGCUUUGUAUUCAGAGACUCAACCAGGCCUGGUGUCUGUCUGUAACAUCUGUAUUCAGAGACCCACCCAGGCCUGGUGUCUGUCUGUAACAUCUGUAUCCUGCUCUCUAUUUCUGCAGGGUAGAGUUCACCACUGACUUUACCUCUCUGUAAGCCGAUCGGACAGACAGACAGACAUGCAGGCAGACAGGGGUUGUAGUAAAAGCAUGGUAAAGUAUGAACAUAUGAUUUGCCCUAAUUCAUUAGGGUCGUCAUUGCCUGACCAUGCUAAAACUGAUGGAUGUGCCAUGCUUACCAUCAUCUAGUGACCUACCACCAUCUAGUGACCUACCACCAUCUAGUGACCUACCAUCGUGUAGUGACCUACCAUCAUCUAGUGACCUACCAUCGUGUAGUGACCUACCAUCAUCUAGUGACCUACCAUCAUCUAGUGACCUACCAUCGUGUAGUGACCUAGCAUCGUCUAGUGACCUACCAUCGUCUAGUGACCUACCAUCAUCUAUCGACCAACCAUCAUCUAUCGACCUACCACCAUCUAGUGACCUACCACCAUCUAGUGACCUACCAUCAUCUAGUGUCCUACCAUCUAGUGACCUACCAUCAUCUGGUGACCUACCAUCAUCUAGUGACCUACCAUCAUCUAGUGACCGACCAUCAUCUAGUGACCUACCAUCAUCUUGUGACCUACCAUCUAGUAACCUACCAUCUAGUCCCCUGGCCUUACACUUAUACCAGAUGUCGCAACUCCAUUCCUCGAGAGACCAGCAGACACUGCUGCCUUCAAGGACCCGUCCCAUAUCCUUCAUCCCUACAACACCACAUGGACGCAGCCCCUUCCCCUUCCCUGCUCCAUCUCCCCAGCUCCCCUGAGGCCAUUGCCAUGGUUCCCAGGUGUUAAGUACAAAUCAGGUGUUUCCCAAUGGUAGGUAAAGGUGUUGACUGGGACCUAACAGUCACCUGUGUGUCUCUAGUGAUCACCUCAGACUGCAGGCCAGAUGACAUUUCCCCCAUUUAAUACAACUCAGAUAGCAAUUCCCCAGUGAGUGCUACACUGCAUCACCAAACUCUUUUUGCUAGUUAGUUUGCAACUGGCUUGCUUGUGUGCUAAUCAAAAUUAAACAAUUAAUUGGCCAUUUUACUCACACCAUAUUCACUGUUCUGUGUUGGUUGUGUUUCUCCAUGCUGCGCUUAGCUGAGUUGGGCUGUGCUGGGAGAGACUAUAAAUACACUGCUGACCUGCAAAACAAAUAACCAAAAUCUAAAACGUAACCUAAUUUUAACCGAUUCUGAAAUGAAAUGUCAGUUUGCAGGUAAGUAGUAAGUAGUGUCCGUAUAGCUUUUUCUGUCUGGGCUGUACCAUCAUCUAGCUUUGCUGACCUAGGUUCUGUACUUUCAUCAUAAACCAGUUGUCGUUAACCAUCUGUGCAUGAAUGUAGACCAGAAUUGACGUUUAUAAACCAGCCUGUCCCAAUGUGUUUUAUCUUUUUCCUUGGCCAGGUGAGGGCAGCAGAGUGGACACUCAGAUUCGUAAACCUUUGUGAUUUUCCCAGGGUGCAACGGGAGCAGCUGGCAGCCAUCUUCCAGCUGCUGAAGGAGAACCAGGAGAUGUUUGGGGAGAUGUCAGAGGGAGACAUGGAGGAGCAACUCUACUCCAUCUAAACCCCUAGUCUACUCACAGUCGACUGUACUACGUCUAACUCUACUUUUCCCAAACUCUACUCUAUGUUAAUCCCACAUAAAACUGACAAUCAAGACCAAGGUGCAUUCACACGGUCCACUGGGUUUCAAAGGGGGUGUUGUUUCAAAGGUCCACUCUAUUUUGAGGCACAUACUCUUCUCUAAAGAUUCUGAGGUGAUAGCUAAUCAGGCUUUGGAUAGUUGGGCCUGAGUGAUUUGAUUGGUCUGGUAAAAUCUGAGGUUCUUAUACCGUAGACACCCAUGAAAGCCAACAGUUUCAGCAAGCCUCACAUCAAACACUUAUCUGGACAGAUCUUACUCCUUUCAGCUAUUCCUUGCCUUGCCUCGGCCGUAUCCUUAUCUCACCCUUUCCUAUGGAGCACCCUUUCCCUCUAGACCCCUCUGUUUGAACAAACACAUCAUUGGUGCGAACACAAACAUGUACGUUAGAUACUUCAACACGGCUUCUGCUGUUUAUUACUUUUAAAUACCAUUCAAAGCAAUAAACACUGUAUUUGAUACAA
Molecule: non-coding RNA, 4381 nt
Organism: Salmo salar (Atlantic salmon)
Lineage: Eukaryota; Metazoa; Chordata; Actinopteri; Salmoniformes; Salmonidae
Source: RefSeq, a predicted model, not a curated record